AAUCCAUAGGUUAAUGAGGCGAACCGGGGGAACUGAAACAUCUAAGUACCCCGAGGAAAAGAAAUCAACCGAGAUUCCCCCAGUAGCGGCGAGCGAACGGGGAGGAGCCCAGAGCCUGAAUCAGCAUGUGUGUUAGUGGAAGCGUCUGGAAAGGCGCGCGAUACAGGGUGACAGCCCCGUACACAAAAGCGCAUGUGCUGUGAGCUCGAUGAGUAGGGCGGGACACGUGGUAUCCUGUCUGAAUAUGGGGGGACCAUCCUCCAAGGCUAAAUACUCCUGACUGACCGAUAGUGAACCAGUACCGUGAGGGAAAGGCGAAAAGAACCCCGGCGAGGGGAGUGAAAAAGAACCUGAAACCGUGUACGUACAAGCAGUGGGAGCACCCUUUGGGUGUGACUG
RNAcentral lists this ribosomal RNA (399 nucleotides) under Salmonella enterica. RNAcentral describes it as "partial 23S ribosomal RNA". It matches the Rfam family "Bacterial large subunit ribosomal RNA", at positions 161 to 599 of the family's 2925-position model. RNAcentral also lists the same sequence under 1 other name. The record is from RNAcentral. Lineage: Bacteria; Pseudomonadati; Pseudomonadota; Gammaproteobacteria; Enterobacterales; Enterobacteriaceae.